This is a non-coding RNA of Amborella trichopoda, 1865 nucleotides long. The record is from RefSeq and is a predicted model, not a curated record. Lineage: Eukaryota; Viridiplantae; Streptophyta; Magnoliopsida; Amborellales; Amborellaceae.
AUUUGACGUGCACCGUACCUCUACACCUGCGAAGGCGUCCGUACGCCAACUGUGCGCCCUUUUUUUCAAACCCUGGCCUUUUUUUCAAGCCUAUUAUGGGGAUUGGGCCAAUCUCUCUCUCGUUACUCUCACUGCAAGUAAAGCCCUGCAUCAAAAGCCACUCGCAGCGUAAAAACUCAGAGAAGAAAAUCACUCGCAGAGAAGAAAUUUCAGAGAAGAAAACCAAAUUAGAGAAGAAAACCAAAUUAGAGAAGAAAACCAAAUCAGACCCUCAAGCUCACCACUCCUAGCUGUAAGUUACGCUUUGUUUUGGAAGUUGUGCUGUGGUCUCCAAAUACCCCGGUGACUGAGCCCAAGUCUUGAAUCACAAAUUACUGGGAAACACCAGUUGAACCCUACACCUACCUACUUGUUACCUGAAAAUUCUAAAUUCAAAGAGAGUAGAGGAGACAUCAGAUGAAAAUGCAGAGAGCGUAAUGGCAGGGAGGAAGAGAUUGUUCCCUUGAAAUCCUUAUUCUUGAAGAACUUUCAUGCCCCAAAAAUAAGAGGUCAGUAAAUAAGAUGGAUGAGGUUCCUACCCCUGAAUUUCUCAUUCGUGAAGGUCUUUCAUACCCAAACAGGAAGAGAUCGGCAUCCAAAGGUGGAAGGAAGAGAUGCGAACAGAAGAGAUCAACAGGGACCGAGACCUUUAUAUAUGUUAUGAUAUUAUGGAACGAAUUUUAUUGGGACUCCCUGUAAAAGCCCUUGGGAGGUUCAGAUGUGUUUCUAAGCGAUGGAAUGAAGUCCUCUCCUCUCUCUCCUUUGUACGAACCCAUUAUCUUACACCUCCCUCACCAUCCACUCCUUUGCUUUUGUUGUUACCAUACCAGAUUCUACACCGUCUUUGCUAUAUCUUCUUUCUCUUACCUUCUAAACUCAACUGAAACCCUCCCAUCGUUUGAGUCAUGGAGUCUGGCGUGCAUCAUGGUAUGCUACUUGAUUACAAGUUCUACUUUGGCUUUGACAUUGUUAACCCUAUCACCCUUGAUUCUAUGAGUAUGGAGAAGACUUUCCAGUUCGAGAGUGGUUUCAUGUUUGGAUUCUAUUACAACCCUGUGAGCACCACUUUUUAUAUAUUGACGUACUCACUCUAUUGGUUCCUAUACUUAUCAAGCACUGGAAAGUGGAUGCAAGUGAGGUCUCCUCGCUGCCGUCGAUGCUCUCUCACUCUCUUCUACACUGUUUUCACGUGCGUGCUCGGAAAAUUCUACAAUGUGUUCUGUGCAGAAGAAUCUGGAGGGUAUAGCAUUGAGGUUUUUGACACAGCCAUAGGGGAGUGGGAGGAACGCCUUCCAUUGCCCACAGGAAUCCCACGCCCUGAUAACUCCGAUUUUGGGUUUAGUUUCCUUGAGUGGGAGGGGCAGAUAUGUAUUGUUCAUGGCUGGUUUCAUCAGGGAGAUAGAAAAGAAUGCAGAUUGGGAAUAUGGGCUUUGAGGCCAAAGGAGAAGAGGUGGGAGAAAGUGAUAGAAAUGGGCCUUGGGAAAAAGUUGAAAAGUUUUGAGAGGGUUCUGUGGAUCGCAAAAUGCCGAUGAUAAUGCAUGGCGAGUUUCUCUUUAUUUGCCGGCAAGGGACCAUCGUGUUAUUCAAUUUGAGGAGCGGACAGAGAAGUGAAGUGAAGUGGAACACCAGAAAGUAUGGGCGUUUACUCCGGCUGCUUCUUUACAAACCCUCACUGCAUAGCUCAACACAUCGCAUACCUUGAUGUGUUAGCAACAUGUCAUAUGUGUUUUCUGUUUCCUCAUUUUAUUUUUGUUUAUCCCUCCUUUUGAGGGAUCUGAUUCGAGUUGAAUUUUUUAUAGAGCUAAACUAAGUUAAUUUUGAGGAAA